Molecule: ribosomal RNA, 245 nt
Filed under: uncultured Solirubrobacter sp.
Lineage: Bacteria; Bacillati; Actinomycetota; Thermoleophilia; Solirubrobacterales; Solirubrobacteraceae
Description: partial 16S ribosomal RNA
Rfam family: Bacterial small subunit ribosomal RNA
Source: RNAcentral
UACGUAGGGAGCAAGCGUUGUCCGGAAUCAUUGGGCGUAAAGCGCGCGUAGGUGGCUCUGUAAGUCCGUUGUGAAAGUCAAAGGCUCAACCUUUGAAAGCCGAUGGAUACUGCAGAGCUAGAGUACGGAAGAGGCGAGUGGAAUUCCUGGUGUAGCGGUGGAAUGCGCAGAUAUCAGGAGGAACACCAAUAGCGAAGGCAGCUCGCUGGGACGUUACUGACACUGAGGCGCGAAAGCGUGGGGAG